Molecule: long non-coding RNA, 6438 nt
Organism: Serinus canaria (Common canary)
Lineage: Eukaryota; Metazoa; Chordata; Aves; Passeriformes; Fringillidae
Exons: 4
Source: RefSeq, a predicted model, not a curated record
UUCACUGCAUCUGCAGCACUCUCGUGGCAGUGACUGAGACGUUGCCUUCACCAGAGGCCAUGUCAUUACCCUAAAUAAACUUAACUGGAAACUGCAGUGUCCCAAAAACAAAGUGAAGUCCAUCUGGAUCUCUCCCACUAAUGCCCUUUGCAGCUGUGCCUGAGCAGUGAAGCACGAAGGAGGAAAACCUCGAGUGCUGGGAAAAACUCCAAAGGUCUGGAUUGAGGAGAAGAGAUGCAAUGCCCAUACAUGGGGGUAAAAAAGCAGGAGAGACUGAUUGGGAAUUACACGUUCAGCCUACAGCCAUUAAAGGGAAACAGUUGAACUGAUUCAGAUGCUUUCUUAGGAGGAGGAGGAGGAGGUAGAGAACACUGAGAAGUGUCUGAAUAUGAAGAGACCAUCUUACAGCAAGGAGACAUGUUUCCUGUGGUGUUCUGCUGGCUUCAUGAGAUUAAUGACCUCAGCACUUCACAGAUAAGUCUUUCUGUGUGAAUGUGAUCUUCUCCUGUGUGCACAAGGGCACAGAGCCACUAAAAACCACCAUGCAUGAGAAGGAAUGGAUUAUAGAGCUAGCAGUGAAACUGAGGUCCUGGAGCAUUCUCAUUAGAGAUGCCAUUGUUUUUUGGAAAAUGUAGAUUUCAAUAUAUUCAGUAAUGAUGAUUAAAAUUAUGAGUUUUCCUACAUGGUGAGCCUUGCCACUGAUCAAAUUGUGAAAUUCUGUAUCCAUGAGAUCCCAAGAUACAGUUGUUGAGAUCUCAGCUUUAACAUCUGGGUUCAGCUGUGGCAGUGCACUGCUAGCAUGCUUAUUCUAACAACCAAGGGGAAAAUGUCCAGGUCUUUGAUAUUAGUUCCUAAAAGGGUACUGAUAUGGCUUCAAAUGUCAGGGCAUUCUGGCAUUUUCCUGCACCUUUGAUCACUUUAGGCAUGUUUUGGUGACGCUGUUCAGACGUUUCUCAAGAAACUGCUGCCACAAAGAAAAAGUUAUUGCAGUGUUACUUAGCACCAUGGCAUCGCCAAAGCACCUGGAUAGUCUAGGAGAACUUCCUUCAGAAGAUGGAAGGUAGAGGAAGGGAUUGCCUCUCAUCCCCCAUCAGCCUUUCUUACCUUCAUCUGACCCCUUUGGGAGCAGUUCCUGUCCAUUGAAAACUCCAGAGUGCCACGUCAGGCCUGAGCCACCUCCUGCUUCUGGCAGGAAGACCCUGCUGUAGUCUCUGUGCUCCCUUCAGGGCACACCCAGACACACAGGGGGGUUUUGAGGAGGGCAGAGCAUGUUUUCUGUAGGAAGACAGGAAGGAACACAGCCCUCCUCCAGCUCUGCAUGAGUCAAAACCUCUGAAAGGUCUGCAUUGUCGGGGCAGGAUCAACAGGCAUCAGCAGGGCAGCAGUGACACUCACUACAGGUUAGACAUUACUGCACAACACCUCUUGUCUCUACAGAGUAUGGUACAGAGGAAGGGAGGACCACAAAUGGCAUGUUUUGAGGUAAAAAACCAGCUGCCUCCAUUCAUGGAGGGGUUAAAAUGAUCUUCAACAUUAAUAAUUACUUUUUAAUUCAUGUUUGCCAGUGCUAGUGAAGCCUAACUAAUAGAUGAACAGUGUUUGAAAACCAAAUUCUUGUUCCUGUCAGGAAGCCCCAGUUCAAGAUGCACUGAUCCAUUCCUUCCCAUAGUGAGAUCAGGAAUUUGUUGAAAAGAGGGAUGUGCACCAAACACACCACCACAGUCCAGUGUCUCCUGCUAUAGCAGCACAGAUAGGAGCCUUGAGAAAAGCAUGUCCUGUUCUUAUCCUUCAACUAAUGUGUUCUGUAGCAUCUCCUCUAUUCAAACUAACUCCUAACUUAUUCACACAAAAGGUGGAGUCCUCAUCUUUAGCUUUAAGUUUUUUUCUACCCUUCCAUCUCUACCAGCCUGAAUUUUCUACCUGUGAUAAUUGAACCAUUCCCAUAGUAAAUGACUGGGUACUUGGAGAGGGGCCCUGGUACCAAAGUGUGGGAGUGCUGCCUGACUGCAGGGAAGUGGGAAACUGCAGCAAGAGCUCUGUGUGGUUAACCAGCUUCUUGGGGGACGUGCAGUCACUGACUCUUCCCAGUGCACAGGAAGGAAGGAAGGUUUUCUUCUGUCUGACAGUGAAUUUUCAAGAGAUGCAUUUAUGUUGUUAUACACUGCACUUGGAAUUGCAGGUAAUAUUUUAAUCUAUCAAAUGGGUAUGGACUAUUGAUGGCAGAAUUCAGGGACUAGAACUAUGUGAGUUUGAAUUCAUUAAUCCUCUAAAGGGAGCAGAACAGAUGAAGCCCUCUGAUAACGUAACACCAGAAGGCUUGAACUUUCUUGUAACAGAAUAAUUUCUCUAGUCAGGACAAAUUUUGUUCCCAUUUAUUUUUGGUGUCAGGUUUACCCCUACCAGCCCCUGCUAUGCCGUUUAGGGAGCUAAGUUUAAAGUUAGUGGGGCUCCAUGCACAAAGGGCUGGCCAGCCAUAACUGCAGAGAGCAAUGAAGUACCUGAUUAGUGCAAAAUGUGACACUUUCACUACUUGGCCUCCUGCCCAGUGGCAGCUACUUCUGCUGAGCCCAUCAAAUGAAUUCAUAAAAGUCACCAAAGAAUUGCAGGCUGUUGGUUGUUACUGGAUCAGACCAGCUUCUGACCAGUCAGCUAAAGAAAUAUCUUGUACUUCCAACACUGGACUAUCCAUCUAAAAACAUUGAAAAAUACAUACAGUGAAAUAGAGUUGUUAGACAGGAAAAUCCUCUUUAGCAUGAUACCAUCUGACCAUUAAAUGUCUGAAGAGUUGGAAUAGCAUAGUGUCUCAUCAAGGAGUUAUUGAAUUGUGUAAAUAAAUAUUUCUUUAGAAUUUAUUGAUUGGUGUGGAAGAGCUUGUGAAGUCAAACAUGCUUCUUUGUCUUUAGGCAGCUUCAUGCAGGAAAUUUGGCCUUUACCCAAUUCUCUGACUAACCCCAAAUUCAGAGUAGUUAUGUUAAUGCAUACUGCAAGAGAAAACCACUCUUUUCUUCCUUUUAUUCCAGCUUCAUUUUAAUGGGAUUAUAGACUGGCCUUUUAAAUGCAGAAACAAAUUUCUUCUGUUGCGUGCUACAAUAGUUUUUAAUUGACAGUCUGCUACUGGCCAAAGGUUAUCUCAAAGGAGCUGUGGCACCUGGAUCCCCUACCUCCCUCCUUCCCAUGCUGCUGCUGCCAUGGAUCAAAUGGAUACCAAUGCCCUUCUGAGCUCAAUCAUUUAACCUGAUGUCUCAGUACUAAGGGAAUGAGAUUUAUAGCAAAUAAUGUCAAUUUCUUAAGACUGUCUAGCCUGCCUUAGCCAUGGUUUUGCUUGAAACAGAAACUAGUAAGAGUUCUAGUUUCUGUUUAGAAUUUUCUGCUGAUGCUUUUUGUUCUACUGCUUGUCACAGCUAUAGGAUAACUUGGUCAACGCCUUAAAGUCAACACUAUUAUCACUCUGGAACUCCUUGUACUGCCCAGGGAAAGGAAAUGCAUUAAUUUUACAGCUGAGUCAAGCCCAGAAAUGAAUUAGCACAUUGGGUAAAUAUCUGACAGCACAUUUUUAAAAGUAACUAGUCACACACCCUGAGCAGGCGCCAAGAAAGGGACAUGUCCUCUGGGCUUGCUUAUGGACAGCCUUUGUGCCAGCUUUCUGCAUUUGUUUGUUCAUCUCAUUUGCUAUGAAAACAGGUAUGAAGUGGAUUCUUCUCCUCCUCCUGUCAUAAUUCCUGAUCUCACUGGCCAAUUUCAGCCCUGAUCUAGAGAGGGAAGAGGACUCAGUGAUGCUAAGUACUCAUUAUAUUUCAUGAUACAGAUGGUUGGAGAACUGAGAUGCAAAGGCUGCACCAUGAAGUUGCUCAUUGUCUGGCAAUAGGCAAUAUAUAGAAGAGACAGAUUACAAAUGGCCCAGCGAUGAAAGACUUACAGGAAGCAAACACAUCCAAUCCAAAUCCAUAGAAAAUAUGACUGUAUUAAUUCUGGAGCUGAUGAAAUGUUAUUUCACUGAUUCAUUGCAAAAACCCAAAUUAAUUCAGUGAGUUUUCUAAAUGGAUUUGGAAGGAAAUGUACAGUAAUUCAGUACAGUUAGAUCUGGACAUGCUGUGUUCCCUUGUUUUGUAUUCCUGCAGUUUGCUGUUAGUGUGGACAGCGCAAUGCCUACUCCCUACCUCAGUGCAUGUUAGAAAGCUUAAUUACCCUAAACACACACAGCUUUAUCAGGGAUCCCAAUGAGAGCAGAAACAGGACAAAAUAUCAGCUGAGUGCUUUUGAAAGAUAAGAUAAAGAAAGAUCUUUUAAGUGCAUAGAAAUAUCUCUCCCCUUUAUUUUUUUAAGUGUAGUUCCUUUAUCAGCCUUUUGGAACACAUAAGAUUUAAAACAUAUGAGUAGUCACAGCAUUUGAAAUUACCAUCUUAAAGUACUUCAACUGUAAAAGCAGAGAACUGAAUCCUACAGUGGAGGAGACAGAUGCAUAAAUGGAUAAAGCCCCAGUGCCAUAGUCUUGGAUGGGCAGUGCUCAGAAAGGGAAUGAACACAGUCACUAAAUUUAAAGAAAGACAGCAUUGAAUGAGAAAAUGCACAGAAUUGGCUUUAAAAUGAACAAAAGCCUUAAUUUCCUGAACAUGUGGAUUUAUUUCCUCUGCCUGAUCUCUUGGUAAAGAUAUGAACAACAAAAAUUACAGCUACCCACUGAUAUAAUUCAGUGACAUGAAGUGCAUUUAUUUCUUGAGAGAUUUAAAACUGCCUUUCACUCUUCCCCAUGCUGCUUGUUUUCAUACAUUUCUGUGUACUUGGCCUCAGUUCUGUCCAUCUGACUUGGUGGUGCAGCUGUAAUCCACCUCAGGACAGAUAUCCGGCUCUUCCUUUCGAAACUUCCUCUUGCUAUGCUAUAGCUCUUGUAAACGCCCUGGCGGAAGUGCCUUUUUCCUCCUUCCUACUCCUGCAAGAGGUCCCAGAAGCACAAGUGGCUUAAUAAACCAGACAACAUUUGGUUUGAAAAGAGCCUGAAGAGAUGUAGUUUGCAUUAACUUCAAUGCUUUUUUUUCCCUUACCUUAUAGGAACACCAUGCAUAUCACUCAUGUUUAAACAAAAUGCCUGGCAAAGCUGUAGAAGCUGUAGACACUGUCCUAACACUUUAAUUUAUUAGAGCAAAACUGCCAGGUUACUUUCCAUCCUUUCUACUCUACAUAUUUGAGAGAGAACAUCUGUCUGGCAACAGUAAUGGUUCCAAGUCAAGUAUAUGAUUUCUUUUCUUCACAGAGAAAGAUAGCUGAAUGAUACUCUAGAUGUAAUUAUCUUUCAUUUUCAGCAGUUCCCUCUAAAUAUGUAAUUUUAAAAAUUAACACUUAGGAAAAAAUAUGGUGUGCAUAUUAUUAUUGUUUCAUGGCACAGUUUUGAUUAUUUAUCAUCUUAUGUAUAUUUUAUAGGGUGAAAAGAGACAGUCUGUUCUGACUUAACAACAUAGUACUCUGCUUACUCAGUUUGGUUCUGGAAAGAGAGGAUGAUAUGAAAACAAGUGAGGUUCCCAUUUUUAAGUAUGUUAAGAAAAUCCCCAAAGGGGCAUUUCAACUGGUAGAGAGAAAACUACAGAUGCUCUGUAGAAGACAGAGGUGCUGGUUGGUCUCCUACCUAGAAGGACCAGGGAGGUGAGAUAUACAUGGAGAAGCUGGGAAGUUGCCAUAUCCACUUGAAGAAAGGCAGCAGCACCUUCCCAGCUACCAACACCCUGGAGGAGCUCUGCAAGGACUGACUUCCAACCUUUUGCUGUCCUUGCAGGGUGGAAAAGCCAGGACACAAAACUGCCCACCCCUGUGGUGGGCCAUCUGAACAGGAGAUUGCAAAAGACACUGGUGGGCCCUUUCUCUUGCCAGGGAAUAGAUACUACCCAUGUCUGGCCAGGUUGUCUUUCUCAUUUACAGCAUGGCAGAGUCUUCAGUAGACUUUUUAAUUUUUUUUUUUUUUUAAUAAUCUUGGCUUAGAAAGAAAUUGCUUAAUUUAACAAAGCGUGUUUACUAAAAUGGAGCUGUGGAAACUUUAAAGAUGUGCAUGACAGUGGGUUGUGUGUUUCUUCAUGCAUUCUCCAGUUCUCAAACACAGACCCUGCCAAAGCAAAUAACUGCACAGUAUUUAUCAUAGUUUUGUUACUAUGUAGGAAUAUUUUUUUGUAACAAUGCUUGCAAAGGUGAACUAUUUGUUAGCUCCUCCUCUCUUCUGUCUGCCAAUAAUAUGGAAAUCCAAUUGUGGUCAUGAAACAUUGCUGACUUGGAGAUGCAAGUCCCAGGAUCAAACCACAUUAGGCAGCAGCAUGGAGUUUCUCCCCCUGUCAAGAACCGGUUCUACUGCCACGUGAAAGACCAACAGAAGGUUUUUGUCAUAUUGCACUACAUCUCUGAAUGUACACCUAUGAAAUAACUCCCAUUACUCCUGGCCAAGGAAGACACAAGGCGCAG